RNAcentral lists this transfer RNA (83 nucleotides) under Actinomycetota bacterium. RNAcentral describes it as "tRNA-Tyr". It matches the Rfam family "tRNA". From Rfam's summary of the family: Transfer RNA (tRNA) molecules are approximately 80 nucleotides in length. Their secondary structure includes four short double-helical elements and three loops (D, anti-codon, and T loops). Further hydrogen bonds mediate the characteristic L-shaped molecular structure. tRNAs have two regions of fundamental functional importance: the anti-codon, which is responsible for specific mRNA codon recognition, and the 3' end, to which the tRNAs corresponding amino acid is attached (by aminoacyl-tRNA synthetases). tRNAs cope with the degeneracy of the genetic code in two manners: having more than one tRNA (with a specific anti-codon) for a particular amino acid; and 'wobble' base-pairing, i.e. permitting non-standard base-pairing at the 3rd anti-codon position. Lineage: Bacteria; Bacillati; Actinomycetota. RNAcentral also lists the same sequence under 1 other name. The record is from RNAcentral.
GGCGGGAUGCCCGAGCGGCCAAAGGGAGCGGUCUGUAAAACCGUCGGCUGACGCCUACGAAGGUUCGAAUCCUUCUCCCGCCA